GAUGAACGCUAGCUACAGGCUUAACACAUGCAAGUCGAGGGGAAACGAUGAGAGAGCUUGCUCUCUUAGGCGUCGACCGGCGCACGGGUGAGUAACGCGUAUCCAACCUACCCAUUACAGGGGGAUAACCUUGCGAAAGUAAGACUAAUACCCCAUGGCAUUUUAUGGUGGCAUCAUUAUAGGAUUAAAGAUUUAUUGGUAAUGGAUGGGGAUGCGUCUGAUUAGCUUGUUGGCGGGGUAACGGCCCACCAAGGCAACGAUCAGUAGGGGUUCUGAGAGGAAGGUCCCCCACAUUGGAACUGAGACACGGUCCAAACUCCUACGGGAGGCAGCAGUGAGGAAUAUUGGUCAAUGAGCGAGAGCUUGAACCAGCCAAGUAGCGUGCAGGAUGACGGCCCUAUGGGUUGUAAACUGCUUUUAUAGGGGAAUAAAGUGAGCUACGUGUAGUUUAUUGCAUGUACCCUAUGAAUAAGGACCGGCUAAUUCCGUG
Molecule: ribosomal RNA, 490 nt
Filed under: uncultured bacterium
Lineage: Bacteria
Description: partial 16S ribosomal RNA
Rfam family: Bacterial small subunit ribosomal RNA
Source: RNAcentral